This 717-nucleotide long non-coding RNA is filed under the name Homo sapiens (human). Its description in RNAcentral is "non-protein coding lnc-DNAJB6-13:2". Lineage: Eukaryota; Metazoa; Chordata; Mammalia; Primates; Hominidae. The record is from RNAcentral.
UACGCACAAACCAAUACACAUCUACCUGACAUACUCAUAUACAUACAUGCACAUAUGCACAAACCAAUACUCAUCUACCCAACACACACACACGAACAUACAAACUGAAACACAUCUACCUGACACACGCACUCAUACACACACACUUAUACACACAAACCAAUACACAUCUACCCGACACACACACUCAUACACACACACGGGUACAUACAAACUGAUACACAGCUACCCGACAUACACACUCAUACACACACACGAACAUACAAACCAAUACACAUCUACCCGACAUACACACUCAUACACACAUGCACAUACACACAAACCGAUACACAUCUACCCGACACACACUCAUACACACAUGCAAAUAUGCACAGAUACACAUCUACCCAACACACACUCAUAUACACACACAUGCGUAUGCAGAUACACACACAUCUACCCAACAUACACACUCAUACACACACACACCUACCCAACAUACACUCAUAUACACACACAUACAAACGUGUGGGUGUGUGUACAUCCAGGCAGACACGUCCUUCUCUUUGAAACACCAAUUCUAUCACUUGAAGAAAACACAACACUUGUACAAAGCAAAGCAUCAAAUGUCAGAUUCAUUAACGGGGUGACCUGAGAACGGGCCAGCCACUUGUGCCUUGCUGGGCCCGUGAUGUCUGAAUUCUGAGACUCGUUAAGUUCAGAUCGACAUGAGGGCGG